GUUUAGUGGCGGACGGGUGAGUAACGCGUGAGUAACCUGCCUUGGAGUGAGGAAUAACACAGUGAAAACUGUGCUAAUACCGCAUAAUGCAUUUGGGUCGCAUGAUUCUGAAUGCCAAAGAUUUAUCGCUCUGAGAUGGACUCGCGUCUGAUUAGCUAGUUGGCGGGGUAACGGCCCACCAAGGCGACGAUCAGUAGCCGGACUGAGAGGUUGAACGGCCACAUUGGGACUGAGACACGGCCCAGACUCC
Molecule: ribosomal RNA, 250 nt
Filed under: uncultured Eubacteriales bacterium
Lineage: Bacteria; Bacillati; Bacillota; Clostridia; Eubacteriales
Description: uncultured Clostridiales bacterium partial 16S ribosomal RNA
Rfam family: Bacterial small subunit ribosomal RNA
Source: RNAcentral